AAACAUAGCCUUUAGCCCUACAAGUAUUAAAGGUCCCGCCUGCCCAGUGAUCUAAUUUUUAACGGCCGCGGUAUCCUAACCGUGCAAAGGUAGCGUAAUCAUUUGUCCCCUAAAUAGAGACUUGUAUGAACGGCUAACUGAGGGCCUAACUGUCUCCUAAGGCCAAUCAAUGAAACUGAUCUUCCAGUACAAAAGCUGAAAUAAACACAUAAGACGAGAAGACCCUGUGGAGCUUAAAACCAACACUAUAAACCACCCCAUCUCCCCAGAAAUACAUCACCAUAGUAUAAAGGUUUUUAGUUGGGGCGACUUUGGAACAAAAUAAAACUUCCAUGCUAGGAACAACACUCCUAUUAAGGCCAACAUGCCAAAACAUUAAAUAUAUUGACCCAGCACACCUGAUCAACGGACCAAGUUACCCCAGGGAUAACAGCGCUAUCCUCUUCAAGAGUCCCUAUCGACAAGAGGGUUUACGACCUCGAUGUUGGAUCAGGACACCCCGGUGGUGCAACCGCUACCAAAGGUUCGUUUGUUCAACGAUUAACAGU
RNAcentral lists this ribosomal RNA (548 nucleotides) under Oedodera marmorata. RNAcentral's name for it is "partial 16S ribosomal RNA". It matches the Rfam family "Bacterial large subunit ribosomal RNA", at positions 1811 to 2594 of the family's 2925-position model. The record is from RNAcentral. Lineage: Eukaryota; Metazoa; Chordata; Lepidosauria; Squamata; Diplodactylidae.